AUUGAACGCUGGCGGCAGGCCUAACACAUGCAAGUCGAACGAGUGGCGGACGGGUGAGUAAUGUCUGGGAAACUGCCUGAUGGAGGGGGAUAACUACUGGAAACGGUAGCUCAUACCGCAUACCAUCAGAUGUGCCCAGAUGGGAUUAGCUAGUAGGUGGGGUAACGGCUCACCUAGGCGACGAUCCCUAGCUGGUCUGAGAGGAUGACCAGCCACACUGGAACUGAGACACGGUCCAGACUCCUACGGGAGGAAGCAGUGGGGAAUAUUGCACAAUGGGCGCAAGCCUGAUGCAGCCAUGCCGCGUGUAUGAAGAAGGCCUUCGGGUUGUAAAGCACUGUCAGCGAGGAGGCGUUACUCGCAGAAGAAGCACCGGCUAACUCCGUGCCAGCAGCCGCGGUAAUUC
RNAcentral lists this ribosomal RNA (406 nucleotides) under uncultured bacterium. RNAcentral's name for it is "partial 16S ribosomal RNA". It matches the Rfam family "Bacterial small subunit ribosomal RNA", at positions 30 to 526 of the family's 1533-position model. The record is from RNAcentral.